RNAcentral lists this ribosomal RNA (292 nucleotides) under uncultured bacterium. RNAcentral describes it as "partial 16S ribosomal RNA". It matches the Rfam family "Bacterial small subunit ribosomal RNA", at positions 505 to 796 of the family's 1533-position model. The record is from RNAcentral.
GUGUCAGCAGCCGCGGUAAUACGGGGGGGGCAAGCGUUGUUCGGAAUUACUGGGCGUAAAGGGUGCGUAGGCGGCUUUUUAAGUCGGAUGUGAAAACUCUGGGCUCAACCCAGAGACUGCAUCCGAAACUGGAGAGCUUGGGUUCUGGAGGGGAAAGCGGAAUUCCUGGUGUAGCAGUGAAAUGCGUAGAUAUCAGGAGGAACACCGGUGGCGAAGGCGGCUUUCUGGACAGAUACCGACGCUGAGGCACGAAAGCUAGGGGAGCAAACAGGAUUAGAUACCCUCGUAGUCC